GCGAAGUGCAAAUUCGCAUAAGCACACGAAAGGUGUGCCGGGGCUUUCCCCGGUU
This 55-nucleotide transfer RNA is filed under the name Chatogekko amazonicus. RNAcentral describes it as "partial tRNA-Cys". Lineage: Eukaryota; Metazoa; Chordata; Lepidosauria; Squamata; Sphaerodactylidae. The record is from RNAcentral.